Molecule: non-coding RNA, 31 nt
Filed under: Rattus norvegicus (Norway rat)
Lineage: Eukaryota; Metazoa; Chordata; Mammalia; Rodentia; Muridae
Source: RNAcentral
UAUGUCAUGAAGAUUGUACAGAGCCAAACUG